UACGUAGGGUGCAAGCGUUGUUCGGAAUUAUUGGGCGUAAAGAGCUCGUAGGCGGUCUGUCGCGUCGGCUGUGAAAACCCGAGGCUCAACCUCGGGCCUGCAGUCGAUACGGGCAAACUAGAGUACUGCAGGGGAGACUGGAAUUCCUGGUGUAGCGGUGAAAUGCGCAGAUAUCAGGAGGAACACCGGUGGCGAAGGCGGGUCUCUGGGCAGUAACUGACGCUGAGGAGCGAAAGCGUGGGGAGCGAACAGG
RNAcentral lists this ribosomal RNA (253 nucleotides) under uncultured bacterium. Its description in RNAcentral is "partial 16S ribosomal RNA". It matches the Rfam family "Bacterial small subunit ribosomal RNA", at positions 524 to 776 of the family's 1533-position model. The record is from RNAcentral.